AUGUAUUGUAACAUGCUGAAGCAAUCAUGGCCAGUGCUGUGGCAGGGGAAGCUGCAUCCUCCCCAUGGCCAGCCUGCCUGUGCCCGCCUGAGAACAGCAGGACGAGGUGAUGUUCCCAGAGCUGCCUGCAUGCAGGAGAGGAACACUGGGCAGGCACACUCAGUAACACUUUUCUCUGGAAGCUAUGGCUCUGAGGCUGGUCAGCCCUCUGACAUUGUCCUUGCAGUGGAAACAAAAUCUGCAUUAAAAGGGGCUUCAAUUCAACUCUUUUACUCUUUUUCACAUUUGCAAGAGAAGACAAAACCUGAAGAAGCUCCGCUGUUUGGCUCAUAGCUGAUGCCCUCCUUUCUCACUGCAAAGGGCAACUGUUGUAAGAAGUCUGAGCAAAAACUGUUCCCUCCACACUGUCAUUUAAAAUAACAAGGAACAAAUGAAUGUUGUAGACACCACUUCUGUCCUUUAUGCCUGAUAUUUGUCAAGCUGAUGUGGAGUUCAAAUAUGGCCAGCAAUGAGCACAAACAGAGGCUGCAUCCUCUGGACCUCCAUCAUUGAAAACUGAGUGCAGGUCUAUCAAUGCUUUACCAGAGACUUUCAUUUUGUUCUCAGAGGGAAUUUUUAUUACCUUCCUGAUAGAAAUAUUGAGCUGAUUGGAGAAAUAUUUUUAGUUCCAAUCCUAAUUGUCUGUGAGAAAUUAAAGACCAAAAAUGAAAAGGUGGCUUUUGAAAACCAGCCUGACUUGCACUGCUAUCUUGUGUAGUGAGUGAUUAAAAAAACAUCAACCAACAACAGAAAAAAACCCAAACCCGAAAACCCAGAACCAGAAAGCAAAAGGAAGGUAACAGUAGCAGGAGAGAGUGUUGGAGAUUCUGUGAGCACCGUUCCCAGCUGCCUAUCAUGAGUCUGAGAAGGCUCAGGUAACUCUCAGGAAUGAAACCCUGCAGGUCUGUGGUGUUGACAUACCCAUCUGCUAUGGACCAGAAGAUGAUUCUGACACAGCUCAUCACAUUUCUAUUUCUGACUACGUCCGUUGUUGGAUUUAAUGAAUAAGUGAUGUUUUGAACUGAUAAAAACCCUGCUGCAAACUUCCCAUUUUAUGUCAUGAUCUACAAGCCAAGAGAUUCAGACAAGCUGUAAAAGGCCUUUAACAUAUGAUUUCAGACUUAAUUCAAAUUGGGAGGUGCUUCUCAAAGCUAACUUGAAAGUUUCUCUCACCUCCACCCCCAAAGUGGACAUAAGAUUUCCACAGACUAAGCAGUGUUAUCUCUAAAACAAGACAGCAACUGCUAUCAACACUGUUGGUAGUUCAUUAUCACUGGGAAAUAUAACAUAUUAU
Molecule: long non-coding RNA, 1333 nt
Filed under: Parus major (Great Tit)
Lineage: Eukaryota; Metazoa; Chordata; Aves; Passeriformes; Paridae
Description: lncRNA (ENSPMJG00000018238.1)
Source: RNAcentral